RNAcentral lists this ribosomal RNA (670 nucleotides) under Flustrellidra hispida. Its description in RNAcentral is "16S ribosomal RNA". It matches the Rfam family "Bacterial large subunit ribosomal RNA", at positions 1246 to 2705 of the family's 2925-position model. The record is from RNAcentral. Lineage: Eukaryota; Metazoa; Bryozoa; Gymnolaemata; Ctenostomatida; Flustrellidridae.
AAUGUUAACACUGCCGUGCAUAUAAUAACUCGCAAUCGGCUGUAUAAAUAAUGGGGGUAUGAGUAAUAUAUUGUGAAUAAAUAAUUUAGAUUGACACGCACAAAUAAAGAACUCGGCUAAAACUUUACGACUGUUUAUCAAAAACAUAUUCUUUCGUAGUGAUGAAAGAUGUAGCCUGCCCAGUGAUUUUAAACGGCUUAAAGGUAGCGUACUCAUUUGUCCUUUAAUUGGGGACUAGUAUGAAAGGCUGAACGAUAUAGUUACUGUUUCAUUUGUGUGAAAUAAAAUUGCUUAUACGUGAAAAUGCGUAUAUUCGACGGGAGGACGAGAAGACCCUGUAGAGCUUAAACAAUAUGUUAAAUAAUGUUUUUUAUUGGGGCAAUACCAGUUAGAGAAUCUGGCGUGAAAAUGCUAUAUUGAAAUCCCUUAAAGGAAAUAAGAAAGUUACCUCAGGGAUAACAGCGUAAUUCUUUCAGAGAGAUCUAAUCAAAGAAAGAGAUUGCGACCUCGAUGUUGGACUAAGACAACUCUUAGGUAUAGAAGCCUUUGAAAGUGAGCCUGUUCGGCUUAAAGUCUUACAUGAUCUGAGUUCAGGCCGGCGAGAGCUAGGUUGGUUUCUAUCCUACGUUUUUUAACUUUGGCAUAUUACGAAAGGAAACGCUAAAGUGUA